GUCUACGGCCAUACCACCCUGAACGCGCCCGAUCUCGUCUGAUCUCGGAAGCUAAGCAGGGUUGGGCCUGGUUAGUACUUGGAUGGGAGACUCAAAUGAUAGGAUUUCACC
This is a ribosomal RNA of Mustela putorius furo (domestic ferret), 111 nucleotides long. NCBI's taxonomy places the organism in Eukaryota, Metazoa, Chordata, Mammalia, Carnivora, Mustelidae. The record is from Ensembl.